GUUCCUGAUCCGAGGUGGGGCUUUGUUCUCCCCCCAUGCAUUUGUUUUGCUUGAUCUUCUCAUCGAGAGGACAAGGAAGAAAGGACAGCAGAGAGAACUCUGUAGACGCUGGAUGGUUUACCUCCAGACUCUUUAGAUUUCCUUCGGUGGGUAAAUGUGGACAGUCACAGCAAGUGAAAUCAAUUCUUAUUUACAUUAGCGGAAAGUGGGACAGAACUCUCUACGGGGGACAUGUCUUGCUUCAUCACUGGGGUGCUUAUCUCUCCGGAUACUCCACAUGCCUUCAGCAUUUCAUAACAUGAAAAAUCUUUUCCAAAGAGCUGCUCUACACCACAGAGAUCAGCGCUGACUGCAAACUCCGCUGCUGAGACAUUUGUAAGCCGUACUGUAUUUGCCAGAGCAAAACCAGAGCAGAACAGAUUAAUACAGUACUUACGCUUCUGUUCCUUUUGGAUCUGUGUUGCAAAUCUAGUUUGUUUGUGUUUGGUGGGGGUUUUUUUAGAGUUUUUCUUUUAGCUAUUCUAAUAGAAAUUAAAGCUCGAGCUAUGCCAACAA
Coturnix japonica (Japanese quail) is the source of this 555-nucleotide non-coding RNA. Lineage: Eukaryota; Metazoa; Chordata; Aves; Galliformes; Phasianidae. The record is from RefSeq and is a predicted model, not a curated record.